Molecule: long non-coding RNA, 2722 nt
Filed under: Ananas comosus (pineapple)
Lineage: Eukaryota; Viridiplantae; Streptophyta; Magnoliopsida; Poales; Bromeliaceae
Description: long non-coding RNA (ACOM_LNC031188)
Source: RNAcentral
GAAACCCUAGCGGCGGCGUCGUCGUCGUCGUCGUCUCCGGCGGAGGAGCUCUCGGCGGCGGAGGAGGAGUGGCUGAGGAAGCUCCCGGACAAGAAGAAGCCGCUGUACUCGCACAGCCUCCCGUGCAUCGAGGCGUGGCUGCGGCACCUAGGGUUCCGGCGGAGCCGCGACGACCGCGCCGUGUGGCUCGCCGAGAACCCCCUCUGGCACGCCCAGCUCUCCCUCGACGUCACCGAUCUAUACAUCAGGUCCCCAUCCUUCCUCUUCUCCUCCAAAUCCUUAUGUGCUUGAAUUCGAAACCCUAAUCAUUCAUACAUGCCUCAGCUGUUCUUGUGCUAAAUAUUUAGUUCAAUUCACCGUAAACUGAAUCAACGAAUUUCACGUUUACGAUUGCGUCCACGAAGCCGAGAAGUAGUAAAAGAAAGAAUUCGCCUGUAAUGACUAUUUUGAUGCACAUAUCAAGUGAUGUGAAUCAGCCACAAAUAAGAUUUUAGACCGUAAAUCACUUGCACUGAAUGUACAUGACCUAGAUGAGUUUUCGCAUCAGACAUGCUUUUACUUUUCCCAGGCUCGGUAUUGAACUUGGCAUUCUACAACAAUUCAGUAGUGGUGCCAGUAGUUUGAAAUUCUAUCCAAUCUAUUUAGUGUUUGUUCGGCACUAGUUAUCAUUUCUAGUAGAGCGUUUGGUAGACGAAAAGGUCUAGUGCUUCUGUUUCAUGUUAAAUAAUAUGAAACAACCGUUAUUUUCUAAAAACUUAAACCGGUAAAGAACGGUGUUUAAAUAACCACCCNCAUAUUACAUGACUAAGUUUGUUGCUGUUUCUGUUUUCUCUGUUUACUGAAUUGCUUGUUUUUGUGCUAUGGAAAAUACUCUAUAAUAAAUUUGUAAAUUCUUGAUUGUAGAGGCUGGUGGAUCGUAAGCGCUAAUUAACUGUUUCAAAAACACGUACUAAUUGGAAGGACGCAUCCAUCGCACUUAAGGACUCAAUCAUAGCGCUCACGAAUUUCGACCUAACUCAAUUCAUCUGAACGUUAGGUCUAUUCUUAGGCCUCUUGUCGUUAGGUCUCUUUCAGACCGCAGCCCCACUGAACUUAUAAGGCUCACCCAACUUAAUUUAUUAGUCUUCUGGGCUUAUUAUUACGGAGCAAAAAAAUUAGACAUACUUUAGCCCAAUAACAAAUAACCAAGAGAGGUGUAUAAGUUCAGAUUUUAGUUUUUAAUUAUGAGAGAAGCUGCGGAAUAGUAAUAACUGAAACUGUCAGGGGUAAUUUUGCAAGAUAGCCACAGAUUAAUAAUUUCGAGUGAAAAAAGAGAAAUUGCUGAACACAACAUUGUGUAACAAAGAGAAACCUAAAAUUAACAUACUUAGGAUUGCAAUUUUACAGCUUAGUCCAUCUAAAGACUAUAAUUGACACACUAGUCUUAUCAAUUUUUUAAAAAAUUGAAAAACAAACAGUGUUGUUUAAACUCUAUUUCAAUCUUUGUGUGCUUAGCACUUAACCAUCUUAUAGAAUUUGUAAAUAAAAUAAUAAGAAAUCCUUAAAUUAUUAUUUCAAAUACUAACUAUUUGUAUAGUGAGAAUAACAAUAAUUCCCUAGCGGGAACUUAUCUCAAAAUAGUCAACGGUUGAGGGGUCUCCAUUCAUUACAAAAAAUUCAAAAUUAUAAUUUCAAAUAAAACUUUUUUGGUGGUUUGAAAUUAUAUAGAGACUCUCUGAACAACUCGAUAGACACUGGCUUAAUUUUUAUUUUUUUAUUUGAAUUUUUCUGGUAAAUAAGUGAAAAGGAAAAUCUAGUUAAUUUGCUACUAAGUAGUUUAAACUAAAAAAUUUCAUGAUAUUAUUGAUUUAUUUAGCAAAAAUCACUAAAUUCCAAAAAUUUAAAAGUUAAGGGAGUUCUCAACGAAAAUAAUAGUUCAGGGGCCAUUUCAGAAUUAGCUAUAAAUGAGUUAUGAGCGGUGUCCAUGCAUUUUCCCAAAAAAAAUAUUAAACAAAAAUUUCAGGUCCUAAUCGCAAAAUACAUUAUAUUUGAGGGGCCUCCACCCAAUUUUCCACCAAACGUAACGAAACGAAACUUUUUAAAAAAUAUUUUAUAUAUAUAUAUAUAUAUAUAUAUAUAUAUAUAUAUAUAUAUAUAUAUAUAUAUAUAUAUANGCGGCUCUCGAGGAGGCGGCCUCUGCUGCUGCUGCUGCUGCGGCGGCGAUCCCAAAGGGUGGAGGAAGGGGCAGCGGAGGCGGAGCGAAGGCUGGUGCCGAGGCUGCUGGGGUGAUCCCAAAGGGGCGAGAGGGAGGGGGCGGAGGCGGCGGUGGGUGCUGAUGAUGAUGGUGAUGAUCCUGAUGGCGAAUUCCCCUGAUCCCAAUCCCAAUCCCAAGCGGAGGAGGAGUGGCUGAGGAAGCUCCCGGACAAGAAGAAGCCGCUGUACUCGCACAGCCUCCCGUGCAUCGAGGCGUGGCUGCGGCACCUAGGGUUCCGGCGGAGCCGCGACGACCGCGCCGUGUGGCUCGCCGAGAACCCCCUCUGGCACGCCCAGCUCUCCCUCGACGUCACCGAUCUCUACAUCAGGUCCCCAUCGUUCCUCUUCUCCUCCAAAUCCUUAUGUGCUUGAAUUCGAAACCCUAAUCAUUCAUACAUGCCUCAGCUGUUCUUGUGCUAAAUAUUUAGUUCAAUUCACCGUAAACUGAAUCAACGAAUUUCACAUUUACGAUUGCGUCCACGAAGCCGAG